AGAGCGAACGCUGGCGGCAGGCCUAACACAUGCAAGUCGAGCGCCCCGCAAGGGGAGCGGCAGACGGGAGAGUAACACGUGGGAACGUACCCUUUGGUUCGGAACAACACAGGGAAACUUGUGCUAAUACCGGAUAAGCCCUUACGGGGAAAGAUUUAUCGCCAAAGGAUCGGCCCGCGUCUGAUUAGCUUGUUGGUGAGGUAACGGCUCACCAAGGCUACGAUCAGUAGCUGGUCUGAGAGGAUGAUCAGCCUCACUGGGACUGAGACACGGCCCAGACUCCUGCGGGAGGCAGCAGUGGGGAAUAUGGACAAUGGGCGCAAGCCUGAUCCAGCCAUGCCGCGUGGAUGAUGAAGGCCCUAGGGUUGUAAAGUCCUUUCGACGGGGAAGAUAAUGACGGUACCGUAGAAGAAGCCCGGCUAACUCGUGCCAGCAGCCGC
RNAcentral lists this ribosomal RNA (440 nucleotides) under uncultured bacterium. RNAcentral describes it as "SSU rRNA". It matches the Rfam family "Bacterial small subunit ribosomal RNA", at positions 26 to 518 of the family's 1533-position model. The record is from RNAcentral.